GCUAGGCACGGUGGUAUGUGCCUGUAAUCCCAGCUACUAGGGAGGCUGAGGCUGGAGGAUCUCUUGAAUUCAGGAGUUCUGGGCUGUAGUGUGCUAUGCCUAUCGGGUGUCCACAAUAAGUUCGGCAUCAAUAUGGCGACCUCCCAGGAGUGGGGGACCACCAGGUUUCUAGCCCAGGUCGGAAACAGAGCAGGUCAAAACUCCCAUGCUGAUCAGUAGUGGGAUCGCGCCUGUGAAUAGCCACUGCACUCCAGCCUGGGCAACAUAGCAAGACCCCAUCUAUU
This is an unclassified non-coding RNA of Callithrix jacchus (white-tufted-ear marmoset), 284 nucleotides long. It matches the Rfam family "Metazoan signal recognition particle RNA". Rfam says of the family: The signal recognition particle (SRP) is a universally conserved ribonucleoprotein. It is involved in the co-translational targeting of proteins to membranes. The eukaryotic SRP consists of a 300-nucleotide 7S RNA and six proteins: SRPs 72, 68, 54, 19, 14, and 9. The record is from Ensembl. NCBI's taxonomy places the organism in Eukaryota, Metazoa, Chordata, Mammalia, Primates, Cebidae.